UCACGUCUUACGACGGCAGUUUCACUAGAGUUCCCAGCGUUACCUGAUGGCAACUAGUGAUGGGGGUUGCGCUCGUUGCGGGACUUAACCCAACAUCUCACGACACGAGCUGACGACAGUCAUGCAGCACCUGAACCGGCAGUCCCCGAAGGGAAAACUCCAUCUCUGGAGCGGUCCACCGUUGUCUAACCCAGGUAAGGUUCUUCGCGUUGCGUCGAAUUAAACCACAUGCUCCACCGCUUGUGCGGGCCCCCGUCAAUUCCUUUGAGUUUUAAUCUUGCGACCGUACUCCCCAGGCGGGAAGCUUAAUGCGUUAGCUGCGCCACUGACGAGUAAACCCGCCAACGGCUAGCUUCCAUCGUUUACGGCGUGGACUAC
This 378-nucleotide unclassified non-coding RNA is filed under the name uncultured Pseudomonadota bacterium. RNAcentral describes it as "uncultured proteobacterium contains 16S-23S intergenic spacer region". Lineage: Bacteria; Pseudomonadati; Pseudomonadota. The record is from RNAcentral.